UUUCGAAUCAUUCACAAUGGGCGAAAGCCUGAUGGUGCGACGCCGCGUGAGGGAUGAAGGCCUUCGGGUCGUAAACCUCUGUCACCAGGGAGGAAACGCUGCAUUUUAAUAGAAUGCAGCCUGACUUAACCCGGAGAGGAAGCAGUGGCUAACUCUGUGCCAGCAGCCGCGGUAAUACAGAGACUGCAAGCGUUAUUCGGAUUCACUGGGCGUAAAGGGUGCGCAGGCGGCCGUGUGUGUGAGGCGUGAAAGCCCGGGGCUUAACCCCGGAAUUGCACCUCAAACUACAUGGCUAGAGCAUUGGAGAGGGUAGCAGAAUUCAUGGUGUAGCAGUGAAAUGCGUAGAUAUCAUGAGGAAUACCAGAGGCGAAGGCGGCUACCUGGACAAUUGCUGACGCUCAGGCACGAAAGCGUGGGGAGCAAA
Molecule: ribosomal RNA, 424 nt
Filed under: uncultured bacterium
Lineage: Bacteria
Description: bacterial SSU rRNA
Rfam family: Bacterial small subunit ribosomal RNA
Source: RNAcentral